UACGAACCGUCCAAACGUUAUUCGGAAUUACUGGGCUUAAAGGGUUUGUAGGCGGUCUUGUAAGUCGGGUGUGAAAUCCCUCGGCUCAACCGAGGAAUAGCGCUCGAAACUACAUGGCUUGAGGGAGACAGGGGUAAGCGGAACUGAUGGUGGAGCGGUGAAAUGCGUUGAUAUCAUCAGGAACACCGGUGGCGAAAGCGGCUUACUGGGUCUCUUCUGACGCUGAGAAACGAAAGCUAGGGUAGCGAACGGG
Molecule: ribosomal RNA, 253 nt
Filed under: uncultured bacterium
Lineage: Bacteria
Description: partial 16S ribosomal RNA
Rfam family: Bacterial small subunit ribosomal RNA
Source: RNAcentral